Molecule: ribosomal RNA, 468 nt
Filed under: uncultured bacterium
Lineage: Bacteria
Description: partial 16S ribosomal RNA
Rfam family: Bacterial small subunit ribosomal RNA
Source: RNAcentral
GACGAACGCUGGCGGCGUGCUUAACACAUGCAAGUCGAACGGAAAGGCCCUGCUUUUGUGGGGUGCUCGAGUGGCGAACGGGUGAGUAACACGUGAGUAACCUGCCCUUGACUUUGGGAUAACUUCAGGAAACUGGGGCUAAUACCGGAUAGGAGCUCCUGCUGCAUGGUGGGGGUUGGAAAGUUUCGGCGGUUGGGGAUGGACUCGCGGCUUAUCAGCUUGUUGGUGGGGUAGUGGCUUACCAAGGCUUUGAUGGGUAGCCGGCCUGAGAGGGUGACUGGCCACAUUGGGACUGAGAUACGGCCCAGACUCCUACGGGAGGCAGCAGUGGGGAAUAUUGCACAAUGGGCGGAAGCCUGAUGCAGCAACGCCGCGUGCGGGAUGACGGCCUUCGGGUUGUAAACCGCUUUCGCCUGUGACGAAGCGUGAGUGACGGUAAUGGGUAAAGAAGCACCGGCUAACUACGUG